Spodoptera frugiperda (fall armyworm) is the source of this 274-nucleotide long non-coding RNA. RefSeq lists it as uncharacterized. The transcript has 2 exons. The record is from RefSeq and is a predicted model, not a curated record. Lineage: Eukaryota; Metazoa; Arthropoda; Insecta; Lepidoptera; Noctuidae.
CGGCCCAUUCGUGCCGAAGCAUGGCUCUCCCACACUUGGAUUUUAUGAUUAAUACUCACUAACUCCCAAGGUAGUAUCAACUGAGGCCACCAUAAUUCCAAGAUAAAAUGCCGCGUUAUGGGGUAUACAGAAGUCCAGGUGAUUCGGUCCCAUCAGCACCAUGACGUCGCCUUGCUUCAGCCCCAUGUUGGUGAGGGAGACAGCACAUCGGAUGCUCCUGUCUAAUGCUGAGCCGAAGGUUUCUGACUCUCCUGUCGCUCCAUCGAUCUGAAGU